UGGGCAACCUGCCCUCAGCUCUGGGAUAAACUCCAAGAAAUUGGGGCUAAAUACCGA
RNAcentral lists this ribosomal RNA (57 nucleotides) under uncultured bacterium. RNAcentral describes it as "partial 16S ribosomal RNA". The record is from RNAcentral.